This 253-nucleotide ribosomal RNA is filed under the name uncultured bacterium. Its description in RNAcentral is "partial 16S ribosomal RNA". It matches the Rfam family "Bacterial small subunit ribosomal RNA", at positions 524 to 776 of the family's 1533-position model. The record is from RNAcentral.
UACAGAGGGUGCAAGCGUUAAUCGGAAUUACUGGGCGUAAAGCGUGCGUAGACGGUUAUGUAAGUCAGGUGUGAAAGCCCCGGGCUCAACCUGGGAAUUGCAUUUGAGGCUGCAUAGCUAGGGUGCGGAAGAGGGAAGCGGAAUUUCCGGUGUAGCGGUGAAAUGCGUAGAUAUCGGAAGGAACAUCAGUGGCGAAAGCGGCUUCCUGGUCCAGCACCGACGUUCAGGCACGAAAGCGUGGGGAGCAAACAGG